CACCAUUAAGUUAGGGAUGCUACCCUUUUAUAUAUACACUUAAACAUUAUGGUUUUAAUACAAAAAUACGUUAUAUGCUUUGAAAAGAAAUCAAACUUUGUACUUUCUCGAAAUCUGUACAUAUAUAUACAUAUUUAUUGUUUACAAAAUUAUAUUGUACAAAAACCAUAAUAGAGCGGCUAACAAAAUGAAAUCAGAGUUUCUAGCUCGGCUACAAAAAUGGCGCGAAGCAUGGCAUAUGAACAAAUAUCUGACUGGCCGCUCUUGGCUAGGUCAAUUUCUAAACAUGUACAUCAUUACCUGCAUCAUAAGAACCUAAUGAGCUAAUGGCUCAGCAAGUUGAAACGGAUGUAAUAGCAAUAUAUCACAUAACACAUUAUUCAUUCAAUAUGUACAAUAUCACAUAUAACUUCAUUCGUGAUCCUUUUUCUUUGAAAUCCUUCUUUUUAUCGGGUACCCUUGAAGUGUGGUACUUGACUGAUAGCAAUAGGCUUUGGUUUUCGGAACCUGUUCAUCAUAUUUGGCCAAUAGAUAAUACGGGGGUUUCCAUACCGGCCUUUCGACCUCAGGUAUUAGCCGUAUUUCAUUUCUUUAAUUGUGGGUUUUCCAUACUGGUCUUUCGACCUCAGGUAUUUGCCACCAUGUGUUGGGUCCGCCGGUCCCUCCCGCGUCCCUUGCCUACCCGACCAUCAAUCAAGUACCAUACCCCCAUUUUGAAAACAUAUUCUUUCAUA
Molecule: long non-coding RNA, 734 nt
Filed under: Erythranthe guttata (spotted monkey flower)
Lineage: Eukaryota; Viridiplantae; Streptophyta; Magnoliopsida; Lamiales; Phrymaceae
Description: long non-coding RNA (EGUT_LNC003478)
Source: RNAcentral